CCUACGGGAGGCUGCAGUGGGGGAUAUUGCACAAUGGGGGGAACCCUGAUGCAGCGACGCCGCGUGGGUGAAGAAGCGCCUCGGCGCGUAAAGCCCUGUCAGCAGGGAAGAAAAUGACGGUACCUGAAGCAGAAGCCCCGGCUAACUACGUGCCAGCAGCCGCGGUAAUACGUAGGGGGCAAGCGUUAUCCGGAUGUACUGGGUGUAAAGGGGGCGCAGACGGCGAUGCAAGCCAGGAGUGAAAGCCCGGGGCCCAACCCCGGGACUGCUCUUGGAACUGCGUGGCUGGAGUGCAGGAGGGGCAGGUGGAAUUCCUGGUGUAGCGGUGAAAUGCGUAGAUAUCAGGAGGAACACCGGUGGCGAAGGCGGCCUGCUGGACUGCAACUGACGUUGAGGCCCGAAAGCGUGGGGAGCAAACAGGAUUAGAUACCCGUGUAGUC
This 440-nucleotide ribosomal RNA is filed under the name uncultured bacterium. Its description in RNAcentral is "partial 16S ribosomal RNA". It matches the Rfam family "Bacterial small subunit ribosomal RNA", at positions 338 to 795 of the family's 1533-position model. The record is from RNAcentral.